RNAcentral lists this long non-coding RNA (2274 nucleotides) under Phascolarctos cinereus (koala). Its description in RNAcentral is "lncRNA (ENSPCIG00000018479.2)". The record is from RNAcentral. Lineage: Eukaryota; Metazoa; Chordata; Mammalia; Diprotodontia; Phascolarctidae.
GGUCCCGCUCCCGACCGGACAGGGGAAAGAGAGAGGGCGACUCGCGCCAGCCCCGGUCCCUCCAACUCACCUCGCCGCUGCUCCCGCCGCCGCCGCCGCCGCCGCCACCGCCACCGCCGCCACCACCGCCACCACCGCCGCCUCCUCCUCCUGCUCCGCCGCCGCCUCCUCCUGCUCCGCCGCCGCCGCACACCUCCAUUUUGUGGUGCCAGGGAUCCUCCAGCGGAGCGAACGGCAGCAUCGCCCCUUCACCAGCCGCCGAGGAGGAGCCGGCGGCCGCCGUCGCGGCCACACAUCCCGUCGUCGCUGCUGUCGCUGCCGCCGCCGCUGCCGCGAGCCCAGCACCCGGCUCGCUGGCUCGCUCCCUCUCUCCCUCCUCCCCGCGCUCGCGCUCCCUCCUCCCCGCGCUCCGCUCCGCGGGCGCGCGGAGCCGCUGGGCUACCUCACGCGCGCGGAGCAAGGGGUGCCCUCUACCGCCCGCUGCCGCUUCCCAUAGAGGGGGCGCACGGGGGUGGAAGUGCUGCUGCCGCUGCUGCUGCCGCCGCUAAGUGGGGCUGAGGCUGAGGCUGCUGCCGCGCGGUGCCCGCUCCCGCCGCUACUGCGACUGCUGCUCAGCCGCGACUCACAACCUACCCCCCCCACCCCUCCCGCCUGAGCCGGAGUCCCAACCCCCUCCCUCGCGCCCUCCCCCGCUCCCGGCUCAGCCAAUAUGGCGGCGGCGGCGGCAGCGGCGGCGGCGGCGUUACCUGGGCGGCCGGCGCCUGGAACCCCCUACGGCGGCAGCACAGCGGCGUCACCCGGACGUCAACGGAGAUUCCCCAGCCUGGGGACCCACAAAAGCAACUGACCGUCGAACUCACACCCACCCCCUGACUUUGUGCCAGACACAUGAAAGGGUACGGACUGGAACGUCUAUUAUCUCCAUCAGCCAUGUGCCUAAAGGCAUGAGGGGACUUCCCUUUCCCCCAUUCGGUCCCGGCUCAUUUCUCUUCCUCAGUGAAGAGUCCCAUCCUGUGUGCUUCCAGAGUGUUGCGCUUUACUAUAUCGCUCACAACACACACACACACACACACACACACACACACACACACAUGCCUACACUGCCUGGGGUAAUUUCUACCCACAGAAACAACUUCGGUGAUUGCUUUUUGUGACUAGGAUGGGCUAAUGGUCUACAGCAGAUAACUCCUCUGUUGAAAGACUUUAAUCGGUAGUGGUCUCGUAACUUCAAUGUGCUUCCCUCGGCUCCUCUUUUUGAACACCUAAGAGCUCAGAGCAGACAAGCUCUCCUUGAAAUUCUGCAUGCUUAAAACAGACGCUCAGUACCUUGGACAGGUUUUUGUUGGGCUUUUUUUGGUUUGUUUUUUUUUUCCCCCAACACUGAUACCUAAAACUCUUUCCUUCCCUUAAAACUGUCACCUGGUUCCUGCCAUGGUGGCUAAAUUCCUUUCUAUAUUCUUUUUCAGUCUUACCUCAAGUGGCUGACAAACGAAAUGGAGUGUGUGUGUGUGUGUGUGUGUGUGUGUGUGUGGCAAUGAGUUUGAAAAUAAGGAGCACCAUCAGUGAUGCUAGGGGAUAGCAUAAAUGCCCUCAACCAACUCCACCAUAGUCCCAUGUAUGAAGUGAGCUUAACUGAUGUAAUUUACUAUGAGGUAAAGUUCAUUGGGAAAAAAACCGAAGUAAGGAAAAAAAAAAAAAGAAAGCCACAGUAAAUUGAAAGGGUAGAACUGGAUCAGGAAGACUGAGGUAUAUACUGUGAUUGUGUGUGAGAGCAUGCUUCUUUUGUGUGUUGAGAAUCCUGACUUGUAUUUUGAAAAGUAAGUUUUUACAUUAAGUAUGAUUAAAAGAAUAGUGAUUCCUCUCAAAAUAUAUUUAUGAUAUCCUUCUACAUCAUAGUUUUAAAACUGAGUUAGGUAUUUUUACUCACUAACACAUUUAUGGAGUGCCUACUAUUUGCAAAGUACUUUGCUAAGUUCUGUAGAGGGUACAAGUAAGGAUAUGCCUAAGACAAGGACUUGCCUUAAAAGAGCUCAUCAAAUGUAUGUACCAUAUAUCUCUGUCAAAGUCAUUUUAUCUGUAAUAGAUCCAAAGCCCCCAGAAGGCAGGGCCUUUCUAAGUUGUUUUGUUUGGGUCUCAGGGCUGUAACAGCUAUUCUUGGGGAGAAUGAUGUGUGUCUUAAAAGUGUAAGAGAUGAAAAAAAGUGUAAGAGAUUAUAUUUGUAAAGUGCUUAGCACACUGCCUGGCACAUAGUCAAUGCUUAAUAAAUACUUAUUC